UUGAUUAAUAAUAAAAAAGAAUAGUGGAAAUGAAAGAGCACAGUAACCUUGCAUGCAAGCAAUAUGUAACUCAAUGUUGGAAAACCUUAACGACAAAGAGAGCUUCCAACUUCCACAGGGUAAGUUCUAAAGUCAAGAUAGCAAUGAAUGCAUCCUUCUCCUUCUUCUUCUUUUUCUUCUUCUUCUUCUCUCAACUCUCAUAUUUCACUCA
RNAcentral lists this long non-coding RNA (211 nucleotides) under Vigna radiata. Its description in RNAcentral is "long non-coding RNA (VRAD_LNC000240)". The record is from RNAcentral. Lineage: Eukaryota; Viridiplantae; Streptophyta; Magnoliopsida; Fabales; Fabaceae.